CCUACGGGUGACAGCAGUGAGGAAUAUUGGUCAAUGGACGAGAGUCUGAACCAGCCAAGUAGCGUGAAGGAUGACUGCCCUAUGGGUUGUAAACUUCUUUUAUAUGGGAAUAAAAUGUUCCACGUGUGGGAUUUUGUAUGUACCAUAUGAAUAAGGAUCGGCUAACUCCGUGCCAGCAGCCGCGGUAAUACGGAGGAUCCGAGCGUUAUCCGGAUUUAUUGGGUUUAAAGGGAGCGUAGGUGGAUUGUUAAGUCAGUUGUGAAAGUUUGCGGCUCAACCGUAAAAUUGCAGUUGAAACUGGCAGUCUUGAGUACAGUAGAGGUGGGCGGAAUUCGUGGUGUAGCGGUGAAAUGCUGAGAGAUCACGAAGAACUCCGAUUGCGAAGGCAGUUCACUGGACUGCAACUGACACUGAGGCUCGAAAGUGUGGGUAUCAAACAGGAUUAGAUACCCUGGUAGUC
This 460-nucleotide ribosomal RNA is filed under the name uncultured bacterium. Its description in RNAcentral is "partial 16S ribosomal RNA". It matches the Rfam family "Bacterial small subunit ribosomal RNA", at positions 338 to 795 of the family's 1533-position model. The record is from RNAcentral.